This 253-nucleotide ribosomal RNA is filed under the name uncultured bacterium. RNAcentral describes it as "partial 16S ribosomal RNA". It matches the Rfam family "Bacterial small subunit ribosomal RNA", at positions 524 to 776 of the family's 1533-position model. The record is from RNAcentral.
UACGUAGGGGGCAAGCGUUGUCCGGAAUCAUUGGGCGUAAAGAGCGUGUAGGCGGCCAGAAAAGUCCGCUGUGAAAACUCGAGGCUCAACUUCGAGCUGUCGGUGGAAACUUUCUGGCUAGAGUCCGGAAGAGGCGAGUGGAAUUCCUGGUGUAGCGGUGAAAUGCGCAGAUAUCAGGAGGAACACCAAUGGCGAAGGCAGCUCGCUGGGACGGUACUGACGCUGAGACGCGAAAGCGUGGGGAGCAAACAGG